Molecule: transfer RNA, 115 nt
Filed under: Terriglobia bacterium
Lineage: Bacteria; Pseudomonadati; Acidobacteriota; Terriglobia
Description: tRNA-OTHER
Source: RNAcentral
GUUUCCGUUGCUUCCUUACCGGGCUUUGCAGAGCGACCGCUGCCUUGUAAUUACAACGUUUUAAAAUUUGUCUUUCACGGCGGUAACACGGGUUCAAAUCCCGUCGGGGACGCCA